UUGAGAAUAAAAAUAGAAAUGACAACAAAAAAGCUAAUCUAGAAAGAAAAAGUGGAAAGUGAAUCUUCCUCCAAGCUAAGAGAGGUACGACUGAGUGUUCAAAUCCUCUCUUGUGGGUAAAGAUUAAUCAAUGUUUGCCAUUGUGCGAUGAUAGUUUCUCACGAAUUCCAAUUGCCGCACAAGUGUUAACAUAUCUUGGACGAUUUGGACCUCAAGCAUUGGAGCGGAUCUGAUCUGCUAUAGGUCCAGUUAGCUGUCGAGGACAAGAUCCCAAAUCGGAGGGAAUAGAAUCUGGCAAUCUAAUGUUGAAGCGAGCCACCUCAGUUGAAGUACUGAUAUCAGUGCAGAUUGAGAAACAGAUGGUGGUACUAAUGAUGAAGCAUCAAAUUGAGAAGAGAUACAAAGAAUUGGUCCGUAGUAACUUUUUGCUUGAGAUCCAAGACCAUAUAUUCUUCUCUUCUUUUCUCCACCUGCAGCUUGAUAAUAUGCGUCACGUUGAUCAAUAUCGACUCAAUUUUCUCACGUAAUAUUUUUUCAUAUCUUUCCUGCAAUAAGUAGAGACAUUAAAAUUAUAAUAAAGAAUACUAACUAUCAGUUUCACCAAAUAAAAAGAAUAUGAAUGUCAAAAGUCGAUAAUUUUAUAAAUUCUACUUACAUGAACAAUUCGUGCUCGCUCAUCAACAAAAUUUUUUCCAUCAUGACCAUGUGUGUGGACGUGCAAAUGGAGCUCACUUGGUGUUGGGUCUUGACCCUUUUCAAUAGCCUACCCAA
Solanum tuberosum (potato) is the source of this 771-nucleotide long non-coding RNA. RefSeq lists it as uncharacterized. The transcript has 3 exons. NCBI's taxonomy places the organism in Eukaryota, Viridiplantae, Streptophyta, Magnoliopsida, Solanales, Solanaceae. The record is from RefSeq and is a predicted model, not a curated record.